CCCUUAGAUGUCCUGGGCCGCACGCGCGUUACACUGAUGCAUUCAACGAGCUUAUAACCUUGGCCGAGAGGCCUGGGCAAUCUUGUUAACGUGCAUCGUGAUAGGGAUAGAUUAUUGAAAUUAUUAAUCUUGAACGAGGAAUUCCUAGUAAACGCAGAUCAUCAAUCUGCAUUGAUUACGUCCCUGCCCUUUGUACACACCGCCCGUCGCACCUACCGAUUGGAUGGUCCGGUGAAGCCUCGGGAUUGUGGUUCUUGCCGCUUUAUUGUGGCGUGACCGCGAGAACUUGUCCAAACCUUAUCAUUUAGAGGAAGGUGAAGUCGUAACA
RNAcentral lists this ribosomal RNA (328 nucleotides) under uncultured eukaryote. RNAcentral's name for it is "partial 18S ribosomal RNA". It matches the Rfam family "Eukaryotic small subunit ribosomal RNA", at positions 1470 to 1796 of the family's 1831-position model. The record is from RNAcentral.